CCGGCGUAGCCGAUGCACAGACGGUAGAGAUUCCGUCACCACCAAAAGAGUUAAGCACAGGGACACAUAUGAAAUCUCGGAGCCGGGUGUUGGUUCCGGUAGCGAUCGAGGGAAGUUAGUACCGAAGUCCGGGAUGGAAGAUGGCGAGAAAAGCUGUGUGUAUUUCUGCGGUGCCCGUACCGCAAACCGACACAGGUAGGUAGGAAGAAGAUUCUAAGGCCAACGGGAGAAGGGUUGUUAAGGAGCUCGGCAAAUUGACCCCGUAACUUCGGGAGAAGGGGUGCUGCAGCAAUGCAGCCGCAGAGAAUCGGCCCAAGCAACUGUUUACCAAAAACACAGGUUUGUGCUAAAUCGAAAGAUGACGUAUACGAGCUGACGCCUGCCCGGUGCUGGAAGGUUAAGAGGAGAUGUGCAAGCAUUGAAUCGAAGCCCCAGUGAACGGCGGCCGUAACAAUAACGGUCCUAAGGUAGCGAAAUUCCUUGUCAGGUAAGUUCUGACCCGCAUGAAAGGCGUAAUGAUUUGGGCACUGUCUCAACAGCCCGCCCGGCGAAAUUGUAGUACCGGUGAAGAUGCCGGUUACCCGCGACAAGACGGAAAGACCCCAUGGAGCUUUACUGUAGCCUAAUAUUGGGUUUCGAUGUUGCAUGCACAGGAUAGAUGGGACACAGGGAAGCAGGUGCUUUGGCGCUUGUGGAGUGGCCGUUGGGAUACCAUCCUUGCGAUAUUGGAAUUCUAACCUGCGCCUUUGAAUCAAGGCGGGGGACAUUGUUAGGUGGGCAGUUUGACUGGGGCGGUCGCCUCCUAAAGAGUAACGGAGGCGUUCAAAGGUUCGCUCAGCUUGAACGGAAAUCAAGCAAAAGAGUGCAAACGCAGAAGCGAGCCUAACUGCGUGACUGACGGGUCGAGCAGUAACGAAAGUUGGAGUUAGUGAUCCGGUGGUAUGUGAGUGGAAAUGCCAUCGCUCAACGGAUAAAAGUUACCCUGGGGAUAACAGGCUGAUCUCCCCCAAGAGUCCACAUCGACGGGGAGGUUUGGCACCUCGAUGUCGGCUCAUCGCAUCCUGGGGCUGUAUUCGGUCCCAAGGGUUUGGCUGUUCGCCAAUUAAAGCGGUACGCGAGCUGGGUUCAGAACGUCGUGAGACAGUUCGGUCCCUAUCUGUCGUGGGCGCAGGAUAUUUGAUGGGAGCUGUUCCUAGUACGAGAGGACCGGAGCGGACGUACCUCUGGCGCACCAGUUGUUCUGCCAAGAGCAUAGCUGGGCAACUAUGUACGGAUCGGAUAAACGCUGAAAGCAUCUAAGCGUGAAGCCGACCCAAAGAUAAGAUAUCCCAUUGUUUUAAACAAGUAAGACCCCUUGAAGACUACAAGGUUGAUAGGCACGAUGUGUAAGUGGAGCGAUCCAUUCAGCAAGCGUGUACUAAUAGGUCGAGGGCUUGACCAA
This 1441-nucleotide ribosomal RNA is filed under the name metagenome. Its description in RNAcentral is "bacterial LSU rRNA". It matches the Rfam family "Bacterial large subunit ribosomal RNA", at positions 1406 to 2925 of the family's 2925-position model. The record is from RNAcentral.